Anolis carolinensis (green anole) is the source of this 635-nucleotide long non-coding RNA. RefSeq lists it as uncharacterized. The transcript is spliced from 3 exons. The record is from RefSeq and is a predicted model, not a curated record. Lineage: Eukaryota; Metazoa; Chordata; Lepidosauria; Squamata; Anolidae.
CAGGGGCAGAACUACCAGCUGCCAUGAAAGUUGCUCCUGCAACAUCGUGAGAGAGACCGAGUGCUAAGCUCCUGCUUGUCCUUGGGGCUGCAUGGCAUUGAUUUUGAUGGGACGGAACCGAUCAUGCCAGCAUCCUUCUUCAUCUCUUUGGCAUGGCUCUUCCACCCUCUCAGCAACAGCACAUGAGAAAUGAUGCUCUUUAGCUUCUCAUCGAGAGGAACCUAUUAACAUUCAGCUGUACGUCGCAAGACUGGCAUCCAGUUUUUCCCGGGAUGCAUUGUGAGAGGAAUGGAGCCCGCUUGAGCAAUAGAUCUGCUGCAUUAACUUGCAGGAAGAAGAAUGAGGCCACGAGAAUCUGAAGGAGUAAAGGAAGACUGCAGGAGUUGCAUGUAAGAAUACGUGGCAUUUUUCUUGCAUAAAAAUAAUUGUGAUCCAUGCAGUAGCAACACUGUGAAACCCAUGACAAUAACUAGGUGCUGUUGCGCAAUGCACAAUACACAAAUGUGUGAGCCAAUAACAGGUUGGCAACCGGUUUGUUUUUGCCGACUUAGCUUUUAUACCUCAACAAAACUAUUUUGUAAUUUUUUUGUGUUGAAAUGUUGCCUACAUUAAAGUGGUGGCAGUAAAGUAAAGGU